UCUUGUACCAGUACGCGGGCCCAGGACUGAGCCUGGGCGCGCCCGGCGGCCGCGCGCCGCCCGACGACCUGGACCUGUUCCCCACGCCCGACCCCCACUACGAGAAGAAGUACUACUUCCCGGUCCGCGAGCUGGAGCGCUCGCUGCGCUUCGACAUGAAGGGCGACGACGUGAUCGUCUUCCUGCACAUCCAGAAGACGGGCGGCACCACCUUCGGCCGCCACCUCGUGCAGAACGUACGCCUCGAGGUGCCGUGCGACUGCCGGCCCGGCCAGAAGAAGUGCACCUGCUACCGGCCCAACCGCCGCGAGACUUGGCUCUUCUCCCGCUUCUCCACCGGCUGGAGCUGCGGGCUGCACGCCGACUGGACCGAGCUCACCAACUGCGUGCCCGGCGUGCUGGACCGCCGCGACUCCGCCGCGCUGCGCACGCCCAGGUAAGUCUGUUCCGGCAGCUUCCUCUCUUUCCCUGCCAGCUGGUGUGGGCCCAUCCUCAUGCCGAGCGUCAUGCUGUGACCUCCAGGAGGCAUAUUGUCUUGUCUUGUGCAAGGAGGAAACAGAUGACAGAUGCAUUCCUGGGGAACU
This 584-nucleotide small RNA is filed under the name Pan troglodytes (chimpanzee). RNAcentral's name for it is "processed transcript". Lineage: Eukaryota; Metazoa; Chordata; Mammalia; Primates; Hominidae. The record is from RNAcentral.